RNAcentral lists this ribosomal RNA (1369 nucleotides) under Lactiplantibacillus plantarum. RNAcentral's name for it is "bacterial SSU rRNA". It matches the Rfam family "Bacterial small subunit ribosomal RNA", at positions 74 to 1431 of the family's 1533-position model. The record is from RNAcentral. Lineage: Bacteria; Bacillati; Bacillota; Bacilli; Lactobacillales; Lactobacillaceae.
CAUGAUUUACAUUUGAGUGAGUGGCGAACUGGUGAGUAACACGUGGGAAACCUGCCCAGAAGCGGGGGAUAACACCUGGAAACAGAUGCUAAUACCGCAUAACAACUUGGACCGCAUGGUCCGAGUUUGAAAGAUGGCUUCGGCUAUCACUUUUGGAUGGUCCCGCGGCGUAUUAGCUAGAUGGUGGGGUAACGGCUCACCAUGGCAAUGAUACGUAGCCGACCUGAGAGGGUAAUCGGCCACAUUGGGACUGAGACACGGCCCAAACUCCUACGGGAGGCAGCAGUAGGGAAUCUUCCACAAUGGACGAAAGUCUGAUGGAGCAACGCCGCGUGAGUGAAGAAGGGUUUCGGCUCGUAAAACUCUGUUGUUAAAGAAGAACAUAUCUGAGAGUAACUGUUCAGGUAUUGACGGUAUUUAACCAGAAAGCCACGGCUAACUACGUGCCAGCAGCCGCGGUAAUACGUAGGUGGCAAGCGUUGUCCGGAUUUAUUGGGCGUAAAGCGAGCGCAGGCGGUUUUUUAAGUCUGAUGUGAAAGCCUUCGGCUCAACCGAAGAAGUGCAUCGGAAACUGGGAAACUUGAGUGCAGAAGAGGACAGUGGAACUCCAUGUGUAGCGGUGAAAUGCGUAGAUAUAUGGAAGAACACCAGUGGCGAAGGCGGCUGUCUGGUCUGUAACUGACGCUGAGGCUCGAAAGUAUGGGUAGCAAACAGGAUUAGAUACCCUGGUAGUCCAUACCGUAAACGAUGAAUGCUAAGUGUUGGAGGGUUUCCGCCCUUCAGUGCUGCAGCUAACGCAUUAAGCAUUCCGCCUGGGGAGUACGGCCGCAAGGCUGAAACUCAAAGGAAUUGACGGGGGCCCGCACAAGCGGUGGAGCAUGUGGUUUAAUUCGAAGCUACGCGAAGAACCUUACCAGGUCUUGACAUACUAUGCAAAUCUAAGAGAUUAGACGUUCCCUUCGGGGACAUGGAUACAGGUGGUGCAUGGUUGUCGUCAGCUCGUGUCGUGAGAUGUUGGGUUAAGUCCCGCAACGAGCGCAACCCUUAUUAUCAGUUGCCAGCAUUAAGUUGGGCACUCUGGUGAGACUGCCGGUGACAAACCGGAGGAAGGUGGGGAUGACGUCAAAUCAUCAUGCCCCUUAUGACCUGGGCUACACACGUGCUACAAUGGAUGGUACAACGAGUUGCGAACUCGCGAGAGUAAGCUAAUCUCUUAAAGCCAUUCUCAGUUCGGAUUGUAGGCUGCAACUCGCCUACAUGAAGUCGGAAUCGCUAGUAAUCGCGGAUCAGCAUGCCGCGGUGAAUACGUUCCCGGGCCUUGUACACACCGCCCGUCACACCAUGAGAGUUUGUAACACCCAAAGUCGGU